GAACGCUGGCGGUAUGCUUAACACAUGCAAGUCGAACGAGAUAAAAGAGAAGUGCUUGCACGGAUCUUUUAGAAAGUGGGCGAACGGGUGAGUAACGCGUGGGGUAACCUACCCUAUGGAAAGGAAUAGCCUCGGGAAACUGGGGAGUAAUGCCUUAUAAGAUAUAUUUGUCGCAUGGGCAGAUGUAUUAAACGCUCCGGUGCCAUAGGAUGGACCCGCGUCCCAUUAGCUAGUUGGUGAGAUAACAGCUCACCAAGGCGACGAUGGGUAACCGGUCUGAGAGGGCGAACGGUCACACUGGAACUGAGACACGGUCCAGACUCCUACGGGAGGCAGCAGUGGGGAAUAUUGCGCAAUGGGGGAAACCCUGACGCAGCAAUACCGCGUGAGUGAAGAAGGUUUUCGGAUCGUAAAGCUCUGUUAUUGGGGAAGAAAAAAAGACGGUACCCAAGAAGAAAGUCCCGGCUAACUACGUGCCAGCAGCCGCGGUAAUACGUAGGGGACAAGCGUUGUCCGGAUUUACUGGGCGUAAAGGGCACGCAGGCGGUUUUUUAAGUCAGAUGUGAAAGGUACCGGCUCAACCGGUGACAUGCAUUUGAAACUGAAAGACUUGAGUAUUGGAGAGGCAAGUGGAAUUCCUAGUGUAGCGGUGAAAUGCGUAGAUAUUAGAGGAACACCGGUGGCGAAAGCGGCUUGCUGGACAAAUACUGACGCUGAGGUGCGAAAGCGUGGGAGCAACAUGAUUAGAUACCCUGGUAGUCACGC
Molecule: ribosomal RNA, 765 nt
Filed under: uncultured bacterium
Lineage: Bacteria
Description: bacterial SSU rRNA
Rfam family: Bacterial small subunit ribosomal RNA
Source: RNAcentral